This 1183-nucleotide long non-coding RNA is filed under the name Homo sapiens (human). Its description in RNAcentral is "HSALNT0214525". Lineage: Eukaryota; Metazoa; Chordata; Mammalia; Primates; Hominidae. The record is from RNAcentral.
GCCGGGAGCAGGGCAGGUAUGGGAGACAAAUGUUUGUUUAUAAGCCAAGAACAUCAAGCAUCGUGCAGAAGAAAUGUCCCAGAUUCUUUUUAUCACAGAGCUGGUGCCAGGCAGCAAGGAUUAGUUCAUUAAGAAAUAAUCCACCCAUUGGAGGGAUGGCUAAGUCUGCAGAUAGUGGACAGGCUCUUAUCCAAUGUCUCAUCAGCUAACAGGUGAGAAGAGGGGAGACUGGCAGGAGAAGAAGACAAAGGCUGGAUUCAUCUUUGCAACCAACAUGCUUAUGUCUAGAAAAGACCAACAACUACUAAAAAGUUUGGGGAAGGAUAUACCAGCUGCCAGUGAGAUGCCCAUUAAUCAACACAGCUGGAUUUUUGGACACGAUCAUGCUUGAAGGAGGACAGGAGACGCAGCCCAAGCAUCUUGGAGAACAAAGACACCAGUGGAUGUGGGGGCCCAGCAGAAGGGUAGUGUCCAAGGCCAACUCUACACUACGGUUACUGUUGGUGGCAAGACCUGCAGACAGGACAUGCUGAAAACAAAACCAUCACAAAAGGAACCAGAGAGAUGCACGAGAACAUCCUCUUUCUACUCCUCCAGCACGGUGAGUGGUGCCCUGUGAUCCCUUCCUUGUUCCCACUCCCCUCUCUCCCAUCAGCUCCUUGUUGGCUCCUGGGGGAUGUGUGUGCGAGGGUCUGGGGUGGGCACUUGAGUGAUGACGUAAUAAACCCUGGCAGAUGAAGGUCUUAGGGCUAGGAAUGUCAUUACAAGAAACCCUCAGGAUCUGGGAUAGGCUGGCAGGCUCCAGUACUAAAGUACAAUUGCAGUUUAUUGUUUGACAACUUCCAAAUGAAAGGGAAGCUCUGUCUAAACCACAAGUCUUAAGGCUCAUGAUGGGAGGCUGGCCAGCCACCAGCUACACCAAAGCUGGAAUUCUCUUGAGAUCCCGGGUAAGCCCAGCUUCCGAAUGUGCAUUUGUGUUUGCAGAGCAGUGUGUGAUGCCCACCCAAGCCUACGCACGUGUGAGGAUGGGCACAAUAAAUGCAGCUGAGAACCCCGAAACCAGACUGCAAAAACUGCACACACGCCUGACCGCAGGUAAGGAACAGAAAUGACGUUGUGGACCAGCAUCUGCACAGGGAGGCGCAGCACACAUAACACUACGUGGUGUUUUUCUUCAAUUGAU